GCCGCCCCGGCCCUGGGGCUUCCUCGCCGGGUCGCUUCCACGCUUCGGCGGCGGGUGGGGGCCGCAGUAAACCUUGACAAAGCUAUGGGGAGUUUCUGGGGUCCCAAACAGGCUGGGGUCACAAUGGCAGCGAGGCAAAUUCACAUUUCCUACGCAACAUGCGUCCCAGUCAGCCUGUGCCCCACCCCCAGCCCGUAUGGCGCUCGGGGAGAAGCAGCAAAGGCGCCUCCGCGGGGCCCAGGCGGCAGGCAGGGUCAGCACAGAGGAGGAGGAGACGGGCCGGCCGGACACGGCGCUCUCGGCCUCCUAGGCAGAGCAGGCCCCGGCCUCGGCACUCAUCUGCCCGCUCAGCUGGUGCUCUUGUGCAGUGAGCAACAGGAGCAGCGCUUUCACAGAAGGGAGCGAAGCGCCCGCCGCAGGGAGCCGUGUUAUGACACCGUCACAGGAGAAGAGAGGAGAGCAUGUGACAGUAUGCCUAUAUUCCCCGCUGAGCCAAUCUUCGCUCAAGUUCACUACUUAGCACGACCACAAGCAGAGGUAGCGGAGAACUGAUGUCAGUGAGGGCGGCGAUGGUUGGUGGUGACGGUAGUGAGCGCUGACUGAGCGCCAUCCGUUCGGCCUGAACUGAGCCUUUGUACAUGUAUCUCGGUGAAACUCUACAGAGCCCCUGGGUUGGCCCCAUUUUACAGACGAGGAACUGAGCUUUGCAGAAGCUGAAUCUGCUAGCUCAAGAUAACCCAGCCCGGCACUCGCACGAGCUCUGAGCACCUCUGCCCAUUCUUGGAUGCACCAGCCUCAGAACGUACCACAUUUGGUGAAGGAGUCCUUUGCCGCUCCUGAUAUAAAAUGUCUCCGACCACAUAGCGCAGGAAUAAGGAGUGAGUGAAACAAGCCGGACACAAAACAGACAACGGUGUCUCUGCCGCGGGAGAAAUCCCUGAGGGUUUCAGCUUUAAUCUAUGACAUCCAUUAGGCAGCAGCCGCUUCCCUUGCUCCUCCACAUGCGGGUACCGAGAGCUUCAGAGUGGGGCGCACCUACGGCGCGUGUGCCACGCAGAGCCUCUCUGUCAGCACCCAAGCCGCGUUUGACGGAUUAUCAGCAUGCAUACAAAGCACAGAUCAUACCGACUGCCAAAGCACAGCAAAUGCAGACUUUCAUCUCCCGAUAAAAUGCCCUUUGUCUCUUGAAAGUUGUGUUACCGUCUUUCUUCUAAGAUAGAAGAUGUUAAUAUAUGAGUUGUGUUUUCUGAACUAAAACCUCGGUGUUCAGGUUUAACUGGAGUGCUGGCACUUUGGAAUAAAUGAGUGGGCUUUGGGUUGCAGUUUGGGCCUUUGGUCUCUGAAAGAUUCGCCAUUACUGGCCUAAAACACCUGGAAAUUAGAGCUCACGCUGCUGUCUGAGGCAACCAGCUCCUGCUCUCUGCGCCCUGGACCAGCCAGGUCCAUCCUCGCCUUGUUAGCAUUUA
This 1466-nucleotide long non-coding RNA is filed under the name Chinchilla lanigera (long-tailed chinchilla). RNAcentral's name for it is "lncRNA (ENSCLAG00000027366.1)". Lineage: Eukaryota; Metazoa; Chordata; Mammalia; Rodentia; Chinchillidae. The record is from RNAcentral.